Haliotis rubra (blacklip abalone) is the source of this 843-nucleotide long non-coding RNA. RefSeq lists it as uncharacterized. Lineage: Eukaryota; Metazoa; Mollusca; Gastropoda; Lepetellida; Haliotidae. The record is from RefSeq and is a predicted model, not a curated record. The transcript is spliced from 2 exons.
GCCAUGUUGGUGUAAAUCAAGGGAGACAACUCUUAAAGCCAUGGAGAAGUAAAUGAUGAGAUGCUGCCUCUAACAGCACCGAGGCCUUAAGAAAAGUGCACAAUAUGAGAGUCCUUAGAGGAACUGGGUGUACUAAGGAUGUUUUUAAACAUUGUACUUGAUGUAAAUAUGUAUGGUCCUCUACAGAAGGAAUAUAUCAGGUGAUUUUGUUCAUUUUCAUGUGAAAGAAGUGUUAAGCCUUUCUUGUGAAAUUUAUGUAUGUAUCCAAAUUGUGUUUUGUUUCUUUUCAAAUGUUUUGUUGAUUUGUGCAUCAAAGUGCUAUGCUAGUUGUGAUAUUUUUUUGUGGAGAUUACCUUUUUUGCCGUUUCCAACGUAGUGUUUCAUGUGUUGACCUUGAUGUGAAAUUUGCUGACCUUGACAUUGUCAGUUUGAGCUUCUGUCUACAGCUCUGUCUGUUCAUUAUCUGCCAGCACUGGAUUUAACAUUUCUUCUACCCUGCUGAGCGUAUCAAUAGAUAUUUACACAUUUGGAAUAUGUAUUGGUCAGGAUUAGGAGGCAAUAACUUUAACAAAAGUAUCUGUGACCAUUGGAAAUGCUGUGACAUGGUUUUCGGUUGGAAACUUAAUAUUGACACAAUGUCUUUUUUGCCAGAAAAUAUUAUGAAACUUGACUUCAGAACAUUUUCACUUAAGUGUUAAACCACUCAGUGAAGGUGAACUUCUGUACCUGUUUUGGUUAUGUUUAUGCCAGUUUUGUUGAAAAUAUUCAAUUCUGGAAUAAAAUAUGUUUGAAUUCAGUAUGUGUUGCUUUCAAAAAAAUUCAUGAAGACAAAAGAAAAGAUGA